RNAcentral lists this transfer RNA (75 nucleotides) under Lachnospiraceae bacterium 7_1_58FAA. RNAcentral's name for it is "tRNA-Gln". It matches the Rfam family "tRNA". Rfam says of the family: Transfer RNA (tRNA) molecules are approximately 80 nucleotides in length. Their secondary structure includes four short double-helical elements and three loops (D, anti-codon, and T loops). The record is from RNAcentral. Lineage: Bacteria; Bacillati; Bacillota; Clostridia; Lachnospirales; Lachnospiraceae.
AGGGGUAUGGCCAAGUGGUUAAGGCACCGGCCUUUGACGCCGGUAUCGUUGGUUCGAGUCCAACUACCCCCGCCA